GAAAUCCACUAGGGGCGCCGUAAUGGCUGAGAUAAAGCGAAUCGCUUUGGUCCCUUUGAACCUGAUCUGGGUUAUGCCAGCGUAGGAAAGUGGGAUUGUGCGUUU
Paenibacillus sp. FSL A5-0031 is the source of this 105-nucleotide non-coding RNA. The record is from Rfam. Lineage: Bacteria; Bacillati; Bacillota; Bacilli; Caryophanales; Paenibacillaceae.